Molecule: ribosomal RNA, 276 nt
Filed under: Flavobacteriales bacterium
Lineage: Bacteria; Pseudomonadati; Bacteroidota; Flavobacteriia; Flavobacteriales
Description: partial 23S ribosomal RNA
Rfam family: Bacterial large subunit ribosomal RNA
Source: RNAcentral
CGGUCUCUAUCUGUUGUGGGCGUUGGAGAAUUGAGAGGACCUAACCUUAGUACGAGAGGACCGGGUUGGACAUACCUCUGGUGUAUCUGUUGUGGCGCCAGCUGCACUGCAGAGUAGCUACGUAUGGAUGAGAUAAGCACUGAAAGCAUCUAAGUGCGAAACUCACCGCGAGAUGAGGUUUCAUUGAGGGUCGUUGUAGACGACAACGUUGAUAGGCCGCAGGUGUAAAGGCAGUGAUGUCAAAGCCGAGCGGUACUAAUUGCCCGAAAGCUUAUC